Molecule: long non-coding RNA, 202 nt
Filed under: Mytilus galloprovincialis (Mediterranean mussel)
Lineage: Eukaryota; Metazoa; Mollusca; Bivalvia; Mytilida; Mytilidae
Source: RNAcentral
UGGUGGAUACAUAGAAUGGUUGAUAUUUAGAAAGAUUAGUGGACUCGUAAACAGACUAGUGGACACGUACACGGACUCUUGGACAUGUAAACAGACUGGUGGACACGUACACAGACUGGUGGAUAUAUAGACUGGUGGACAUGUAGACGGACUAGUGGACUCGUACACAUUCUGGUGGAUACAUAGACUGGUUGACAUGUAG